UCCAAAGGUUGAUCAUUGUUAGUAAGUUACUCAAGGAGGUACCAAACAAAGGUGAACAUCAACUUAAACAAAAUACAGUAUAUGAAUGAAAAAAUCUCCACAGAAAUAGAUAUCAUAAAGAAAAAAAAUCACAAGUUCUGGAAAUGAAAGACAUUUAGAGAAAUACCAAAUACACUGGAAAAUUUCAAUAGACUAAACAAGUAGAAAACAAACAAACAAAAAACAACUUCACAGCUUGAAGACAAGGCUUUUGAAUUAACCCAAUCCAACAAAGACAAAGAAAAAAUAAUUUUUUAAAAAAUGAAAAAAGCCUCCAAGAAAUUUGGUAUUGAAAUCAUAGUCUGCAAAAGGAGGCCAGGACCUUGUAAUCAACAUAAACAGUGUGACUGCCUGCUAAAAUGCAAGAUAUAAAUAAGAUCCAGAGGCUAAUAUAACAUACAAAAUACAAAGAAAUCAUGUCUCAUACAAGAAAAUCAACCUGAAGGAGAAAAGGCAAUCAACACCAAAAGGUAAGGCUCAUACUGAGAUGAGUCAGAUCUUGGAAUUAUUCGAAAAGGAUUUUAAAGCAGCCCACAUACAUGCUUCAAUAAUCAAUUAUAAAUUCUUUUGAAACAAAUAAAAAUAAACCCAGUCAUGAAAUAGAAAUUAUAAAAAGAACCAAAUAGAAAUUAAAGAACCAAAAAACAUAAUAAUGGAAAAAUAAAUUUGCCGAAUGGACUUAAUAUUAGAGUGGAUAUGACAAAGGAGAGAAUCAGUGAAUUUAAAGACAUAUCAAUAAAAUUUAUCCCAAUCCAAACAACAGGGAGAAUGCAGACUGUAAAAUAAACAAACAAACAGAAAACAAAAAUAGCACCUCCAACACCUGUGGGACAAAAUCAAAAGAUCCAUCAUGUGUUGUAUUAGAAGCCCACAGGAUGGGAGAAAGUGAACCUGAAAGAGUAUUCAAGGAAAUAAUGGCUAAAAAUUUCCCAAAUUGGGCAAAAGACAUAAUCUUGCAGAUUCAAGAAGCUGAGUGAUCUCAAAUAGAAUAAACUCAAAGAAACCUGUGCCAAGACAGAUCAUAAAUAAAUUUCUAAAAAUAACUGAAGACAAAAAAAUAUAUAUUGAAAGCAGCCAUA
This 1118-nucleotide long non-coding RNA is filed under the name Pan troglodytes (chimpanzee). RNAcentral's name for it is "long non-coding RNA NONPTRT017097". The record is from RNAcentral. Lineage: Eukaryota; Metazoa; Chordata; Mammalia; Primates; Hominidae.